Molecule: long non-coding RNA, 4051 nt
Filed under: Gallus gallus (chicken)
Lineage: Eukaryota; Metazoa; Chordata; Aves; Galliformes; Phasianidae
Source: RNAcentral
GUUGGAGUGAGGCAUCGCACUUCAGAAUACACUCGAUCUCUGAAGCCUGGAAAAAGCGUGUUUCCCCCAGUCAGAACUAUGUUCUUGAAGAAGUGAGGCUGCAUUUCUUCUGGUAAAUUCUGAAUAGAAUCAACAAUGGCUUCAGGAAUUCCCAUCUCUUGAAUACCAAUAUCUGAAGGAUGGAAGAGUAUUUCUGGAACUGCAAAUCUUUCAUUUGUUAGACGAAGUAUUUGUUCACCAGUUUUGUAUUUUCCACUUAGCACCAUCUCUUCCCUUGGCUUACAAAAUCCUUUUUUGAUUGUGCUGAAGUCUGGCAAAACGUAAUCUACCAUUACAGUAUUUUCCUCUCCUUUUAAUUUAGCUAUCUCCAUGUCCUUGUAAAAGUCUUGAGACACAUAACACACAUCUUCUUUUACUUGAUUAAUUACAUGCGUUUCAUCCAUAACGUGUAACUGCCUGUAAGAGAUUAUCUCCUUCAGAUGGUUGGUUAACAGUUUUCCUCCAACGUUAAUCCUGAUAAUUGCUUCCUUCUUCUUUUUACUUCUACAAUAAGGUACAAUAUGCGUAAAAGAAUAUCCGCUAUCCACGAUGAUACAACACAGCUCAGAUGGAUUAUCCCGGAAAUACCUGUGCGCACUAAGAGCUCCAGCAUUUACUCUAAGAACUGCUUGAAACUGAUAUUCUUCAAAUAGGAUUUCAUUCAUUGAUUCUUGUAUUGAACUGAAGUUAAAAUAAGGUUCAGUGAUAAUAAUAUUGGUAUCUACAAAAUCCACUUGAUACAUUUCUUUUCCAAAGAGAUAAUCCCAAACCUGUCUCUGAACAUCCCAGUUUACCAAAUAACCUUUCUGAAAAGGGAGAAUGUAGAAGAGGCCGGAGGGGUCUUUGAUUUCAUCUAGUUGAUUUGCUGUGAAGGUUUUCAGGCGUGCAGUCUUGGAUCGGAACUGGCAGUUGGGAAUGACGCUGACGUGCGCGUGGCUGUAGCCGAUCUUGGCGUUGUAGGCGCCGUUAUCCAGCACCAGCGUCGCCAUGCUCCCCACGGCGCCACGGCCGCCGCCGUCCCAGUAUUGAUCCGCCACCGCCGUGGAUCGCUAUGGUUACCAUAGAGCGGAGGUGCAGCGCGCGCGCGCGUUGCUUGACGGGACGCAGGAGUGCCGCGGGGACCGCCUUCGCCGCCGGACGUUCGCCGCUCACGUGAUGCCGGCGACGCUCGAGGAGCCGCCGAGCCCGGCGAUUGGUCAGACGCCACCCGGAAGCGCUCGCUACGGGAGGUGACGCGCGUCAGCCCGCCCAACCGUCCCCGGCAGCUCCAGUGCGCCUGCGUCAGCGUCACUCCCAACCCCGCCUUCUCCCGCUCUGCGGCUCGCCACAGCGGCCCCCGGCGGCAGCAGUGGGCAGGGCGCUUUGCUACAUACGAGCUCCUGGUCUAACAGUUGGUCGUGCCAUCAGUUAAUGGCCUGUAUUAGAUUCAGGGUUAGGUUUUUUUGUUGUUGGAAAAAUCAUUGAUCAGGGCUCAGAUCAACAGACCCAUGGAAAUUCACACAUAGAGCUGCCCAUGCAGCCACCCCUUCUUUCCUUCUCAGGUGACGUUUAUUUCCCCCUGCACAGGGCUCAAUGCAGGUGCAUCAAGAGCAAAGAGCAAGAUGAAGGACUCUUUCAUAGCUGUGUCUUAAAGGGCAAAGUAGCUGGGAAGAGUAAGCCUCUCUUUGCUGCUUAUAUUGAGGCCACAGCUGAUGACACUCUCAUAAGUGGCAUUCUUCACAUGUGGUUGCCUUCCUCUAUUGAAUAAAGGAAUCAUUCUUUGGGUGUUGUAUCAAGCAUCAGUACCACAUAGCAGUACUCCAAAAUGCAGGAGCCUUCUGGCACUCAUCUGCUUGAAAACGUGGGAUUAUGAUGUGGAAAAAAAAAAAAAAAUCAGUCCAAAGUCUAAUAAACACAGUGUGGGAAGAUUCUGCUACUAACUUCUGUCAGGUUCUAAAACACCAGGUAUUCUGCUCUAAGCAAGAUAAGCGGGGCUUCUUAUCACACACCCUUGGGGGUGAAGGGCUGAUUUGUGCCUUUUCUUCCAAGGAGUGUGUUCCAAAAUGCAAGGGAGAAGGUGAGUUCAUGACUCAGAUUAACCAUGCUGGGUAGGAGUAUUUCAGCUUUCUCAUUCUGAUCAUCUUGCCCUCUGCCAGACCUAGGUGGGCAGAACAUUUGAAAGGGAGCACACACAAGGAUCUUGCUUUCCUUCCCCCCCCCCCCAUAAUUCUUUUCUUCCUUGGUGGGAAACUGUCACGUUCUCAAAGUUCUCCAAGAUUUCUGAGACAAUGGUGAAUUUUUUCUAGUUGAGAAAUGUGAACUAAAACAUGAAAAAAAGUGUUGCUUCAUUCCCACUUAAUAAGUCUCUCAAAGUAAUAUAACAAGGUCACCGUUAUACAAGUGACUGAUUUUUAAAUGCCUGGGGAAAAAAAAAUCAAUUGGAAGUAUUCAUCUCCUGACCUCUUUCUUCAUUUGUUACUGCUUCAUAUCUGAUGUGAAGGUCCUUGGAUUUUUUGGUUCGUUGCGCAUAAAUAAUUUACAUGUGCACAAGAAGCAAAGAAAUUAGUGUCUGAUGUAUUUUCUCUGCAGCUCUAGACUACAUUCUAGAGCCAGUCAGCCAUCUUUCUUAAAGAGAUCACAUCUGAUAAACCUGGCAGUUUUGCCAUUCUUCUUGCUAUUUCUGACUAAUACUUACUAUUAGAGCUCCUGGUUGGCCACCAAUGAAAUUUCUUCAAGAUAUCUUUCCUGAAUGAAGUAGCUCCAGAGAAGAGGCUUGCCGAAUGAACAAAGCUAUUACAGAUCAUUUAAUUAACUGUCUUGGAAAUUUUACCACAGCAUGAGAACUUAUUCUCUUGAGGCAAUCAUAACCUGUAGGCUUCAUAACAACUAUGGAAAUCACCUGGAGAACAUGAUUUUAGAAGUCUGAGAGUUUGAGUAACUGCCAAGACAUUCUGCUUAAUGGAAAUGCUAGACUGGAGCCAGUAACAUGCUCUCACAGCCCAGAAAGCCAACCACAACCUGGGCUGCACUGGGGCCAUGGCCAGCAGGGAGAGGGAGGUGAUCCUGCCCCUCAGCGCUGGUGAAGCCUCACCUGGAGUACUGCAUCCAGAUACAGAGUCUUCAGGAUAGGAGAAACAUGGACCUGUUGGAGCAUGUCUGGAGAAGGGCCACAGACACGAUCCAAGGGACGGAACACCUCUGUGAGAAUAGGCUGAUAGAACUGAGGCCAGAAGCUGAGCCUAUGCAGUUCUUCAUCUUGCUAGCAAGGCUAAGUUUACUGCUGGUGGGAUUGUUAGUUUGCUUGGUGCAUAAUUUUGAAAUGAUCUAGGGGAUCCUGGAGAGAAACAAAUUGCUUCUUGUGGCUAGAAAUGAGCAUUACUUUGAAAGAGAGCUGUAACACAAUGGAAAGCAUAACAAGGACAUCAAAACAGAAAGAUCCCAGGCUGCAGCAAACAAGGAUUCACUCAAACACAACAACCAAAAGAAGCAAGGAGAAAUAAGCUACUUAUCUCUAGAAAGCCUCAAAUAUGGAGGGACCUCCAGAAAGAUGCCUUUGCCUCCGCUGCCAACCCUUAAAUGAGGUCGGGGGAGGGGUGGAGCCAGGACCCACCCCUUCUGGUCACUCAGGUGCACUGCAUGCACCUGAGCACCCCUGGAUUGGCUCUGCCUUCCUGCCAGGUGCUCAGUCACUGCUUCAAGCUGUGACUUAGCAUUUCUGCUACAUGAGGUAUAAAUAGAUGUCUUACUGGGCUCAUCAAAGUGACUGUACUGCAAAAGAAAGGGAAUACUGGAGUUUAUCUGGAAAAUUUAAAGCAACUUCAAACACUGUUUCUGUGAGUGAGAUUUCAGACCACUUGCAGCUCUGGUGCUUGGGAAGCACGUGAAGUGCUCAUUGACAGCAGAUAUUAAUGCAUGCCUGCAAAUUAGCAUUUUAUGUAGAUGAAUCUUUACUACAUAUCAAAGCAUUUAUUAUUGCUAUUGCACGUUACAUCUUUUAGCUGUGCUUUGUAACAGCUUUUCAAAGAAACUCAAC